GAGGGUAUAGCUCAAGUGGUGGAGCAUAUGCUUAGCAAGCACAAGGUGCUGGGUUCAAUCCCCAGUACCUCCU
Molecule: transfer RNA, 73 nt
Organism: Camelus ferus (Wild Bactrian camel)
Lineage: Eukaryota; Metazoa; Chordata; Mammalia; Artiodactyla; Camelidae
Rfam family: tRNA
About the family: Transfer RNA (tRNA) molecules are approximately 80 nucleotides in length. Their secondary structure includes four short double-helical elements and three loops (D, anti-codon, and T loops).
Source: Rfam